GUGCUCGCUUUGGCAGCACAUAUACUAAAGUUGAAACAAUACAGAAAAGAUUAGCAUGGCUCCUGCUCAAGGAUGACAUGCAAAUUCAUGAAGUGCUCCAUAUUUAA
RNAcentral lists this small nuclear RNA (107 nucleotides) under Canis lupus familiaris (dog). The record is from RNAcentral. Lineage: Eukaryota; Metazoa; Chordata; Mammalia; Carnivora; Canidae. RNAcentral also lists the same sequence under 1 other name.